UGCCUGACGGCAUUAGCGCCGUGGAACCACCUGAUCCCAUGCCGAACUCAGAAGUGAAACGCGGUAGCGUCGAUGGUAGUGUGGCAUUCGCCAUGCGAGAGUAGAACACUGUCAGGCA
This 118-nucleotide ribosomal RNA is filed under the name Aeromonas dhakensis. Lineage: Bacteria; Pseudomonadati; Pseudomonadota; Gammaproteobacteria; Aeromonadales; Aeromonadaceae. The record is from RNAcentral.